Molecule: ribosomal RNA, 1033 nt
Filed under: Bacillus pumilus
Lineage: Bacteria; Bacillati; Bacillota; Bacilli; Caryophanales; Bacillaceae
Description: bacterial SSU rRNA
Rfam family: Bacterial small subunit ribosomal RNA
Source: RNAcentral
GAAGGGAGCUUGCUCCCGGAUGUUAGCGGCGGACGGGUGAGUAACACGUGGGUAACCUGCCUGUAAGACUGGGAUAACUCCGGGAAACCGGAGCUAAUACCGGAUAGUUCCUUGAACCGCAUGGUUCAAGGAUGAAAGACGGUUUCGGCUGUCACUUACAGAUGGACCCGCGGCGCAUUAGCUAGUUGGUGGGGUAAUGGCUCACCAAGGCGACGAUGCGUAGCCGACCUGAGAGGGUGAUCGGCCACACUGGGACUGAGACACGGCCCAGACUCCUACGGGAGGCAGCAGUAGGGAAUCUUCCGCAAUGGACGAAAGUCUGACGGAGCAACGCCGCGUGAGUGAUGAAGGUUUUCGGAUCGUAAAGCUCUGUUGUUAGGGAAGAACAAGUGCGAGAGUAACUGCUCGCACCUUGACGGUACCUAACCAGAAAGCCACGGCUAACUACGUGCCAGCAGCCGCGGUAAUACGUAGGUGGCAAGCGUUGUCCGGAAUUAUUGGGCGUAAAGGGCUCGCAGGCGGUUUCUUAAGUCUGAUGUGAAAGCCCCCGGCUCAACCGGGGAGGGUCAUUGGAAACUGGGAAACUUGAGUGCAGAAGAGGAGAGUGGAAUUCCACGUGUAGCGGUGAAAUGCGUAGAGAUGUGGAGGAACACCAGUGGCGAAGGCGACUCUCUGGUCUGUAACUGACGCUGAGGAGCGAAAGCGUGGGGAGCGAACAGGAUUAGAUACCCUGGUAGUCCACGCCGUAAACGAUGAGUGCUAAGUGUUAGGGGGUUUCCGCCCCUUAGUGCUGCAGCUAACGCAUUAAGCACUCCGCCUGGGGAGUACGGUCGCAAGACUGAAACUCAAAGGAAUUGACGGGGGCCCGCACAAGCGGUGGAGCAUGUGGUUUAAUUCGAAGCAACGCGAAGAACCUUACCAGGUCUUGACAUCCUCUGACAACCCUAGAGAUAGGGCUUUCCCUUCGGGGAACAGAGUGACAGGUGGUGCAUGGUUGUCGUCAGCUCGUGUCGGGAGAUGUUGGGUUAAGUCC